RNAcentral lists this ribosomal RNA (406 nucleotides) under uncultured bacterium. RNAcentral describes it as "partial 16S ribosomal RNA". It matches the Rfam family "Bacterial small subunit ribosomal RNA", at positions 30 to 526 of the family's 1533-position model. The record is from RNAcentral.
AUUGAACGCUGGCGGCAGGCCUAACACAUGCAAGUCGAACGAGUGGCGGACGGGUGCGUAAUGUCUGGGAAACUGCCCGAUGGAGGGGGAUAACUACUGGACACGGUAGCUACUACCGCAUACCAUCGGAUGUGCCCAGAUGGGCUUAGCUAGGAGGUGGGGUAACGGCUCACCUAGGCGACUAUCCCUAGCUGGUCUGAGAGGAUGACCAGCCACACUGUAACGUAGACACGGUCCAGAAUCCUACGGGAGGCAGCAGUGGGGAAUAUUGCACAAUGGGCGCAAGCCUGAUGCAGCCAUGCCGCGUGUAUGAAGAAGGCUUUCGGGUUGUAAAGUACUUUCAGCGAGGAGGCGUUACGCGCAGAAGAAGCACCGGCUAACUCCGUGCCAGCAGCCGCGGUAAUAC